Long non-coding RNA from Equus asinus (donkey), 1838 nucleotides. NCBI's taxonomy places the organism in Eukaryota, Metazoa, Chordata, Mammalia, Perissodactyla, Equidae. The record is from Ensembl.
AGCUCAGGGAUAGGAUUGUGACCCAAUCAAAGCUAAUGAGAUGCAUUGGGACUCUCUGGGACUACUGGGAGUGAGGCUGAAACUCAUUUUCACCUGACUUCAGUCAAGGAACACCUGAACCUAGAGCUACAACCCCACACGGUGGGGGUGGGGAGGCUAUCAGAGGCAGCGCCAAUGUUCAAGAAGUAAAAGAGGGAAGGAGAGACAGCCUUGCCUAGUAAUAUAAUACCUUGAUCAGCUCCCUCUUGGACUACUACGUUAAGUGAACUAAGAUUUCUCUGUCUCUUUUUUUAAAGAUUUUAUUUUUCCUUUUUCUCCCCAAAGUCCUCCAGUACAUAGUUGUGUAUUUUUAGUUGUGGGUCCUUCUAGCUGUGGCAUGUGGGACACUGCCUCAGCAUGGCUUGAUGAGCGGUGCCAUGUCCACGCCCAGGAUUUGAACUGGUGAAACCCUGGCCUGCCGAAGCAGAGCGCAAGAACUUAACCACUUGGCCAUGGGGCCAGCCCCUAAGAUUUCUCUUUUGCUUGAUCUGGUUUGGGUUGGCCUCUUCUUAUGCCUCCUUGGCUUCCAGGAGAGCAAUUAAAGAGCUUUUCCUCUAGCUUCACUGAAGAAGAUUAAGCUGGGUAAUCCCAGAGAGGAUGGAGGUUUUGACUCAUAAAGAAAGAGUGACAUGCAAGGCCAACGACAGAAUAUACCUUCUCUAAGGCCUGUAAAGCCAUUCCCACUGGACAGAGGCAAGAUUGUUAAGAUUCCAUGCAAAGUGACCAUCAGCUGGCAGGGUCUAUACCAGAGGGCAUCAGAGAAAGAAAGAAAAAACUGGUCUCUGAGGUGUGAACAGUUCAAAAACAGUAAAUAAAUGGAGAGUGAAGUGGGAUUAUUUUUAUUAACUUUCAAACUCAAAGACCUUUAUCAAAAUCAGAUCUUAUAGAAGAGGGAGUAGGGACACUUGGCCGGAUGCCUCUUCCACAACCCUCAUCCCUCACCUUCAAGGUAAACAAGGAAGAAGGAAAAAGAAAUAGCAAAGAGGGAGAGAGAAAAACCGACUUUCCUUCAGCGAGGACCACGCUCCUCUCAGAAAGGGGCCAGGCUUUCAAGGGCCUCUGAUGCAGGAAGGUAGAGGGUAGCUCGGUCUCCUGCAAAUGCAGUCCACUCUCUCAAGCUGAGAUGACAUCUGAGGACAAACCAGAGGCAAUAAGUGGAGGAGCUAGCUUCAGAGUGAUUACUUCUCAAGCUGGAGGAAGAUUAACCCUGAGCUAACUACUGCCCAUCCUCCUCUUUUCGCUGAGGAAGACUGGCCCUGAGCUAACAUCUGUGCCUACCUUCCUCUACUUUAUACAUGGGACGCCUACCACAGCAUGGCUUUUGCCAAGCAGUGCCAUGUCUGCACCUGGGAUCCCAACUGGCGAACCCCGGGCCACCAAAGCAGAACGUGUGCACUUAACCACUGCGCCACCUGAGCUGGCCCUGACUCAGUUUCUUAAGCUAAAGUGAUGGACUGGCUUAUGUUACUAGGAACCUCAGGGUGGAUCCAGCACUUAAACAAGGAAACUCUCUCUCUCUCUGCUCUCUAUGUGAGUCACCGUAUUCCUUUGCAGACGGGGUAUUCCUCCAGAUGAACAUCCAGAGGCAAGGGGAAGGCUUCUCAGCUGGGUCUAGUGGAAGGAAGAUUCAGGGAGGGACUCUGCCUCUGCUUGGACUACUUAGUUUCCCCUGAAACUGUUGCCCAGGGAAGGCGCACCAUGACUAACAAGCAGGGUUUAUGCACCUGGGUGGUGGGUAGGUUCUGAUACUAGACAGGGAGAGGGAGAAACACAUGCUGGGUCACCAAAAUCAACAGCUA